RNAcentral lists this ribosomal RNA (811 nucleotides) under uncultured archaeon. RNAcentral describes it as "bacterial SSU rRNA". It matches the Rfam family "Archaeal small subunit ribosomal RNA", at positions 59 to 878 of the family's 1478-position model. The record is from RNAcentral.
CGAGAGGGUUCGGCCCUCGGCGUACUGCUCAGUAACACGUGGAUAACCUGCCCUAAGGAAGGGGAUAACCCCGGGAAACUGGGGAUAAUACCCUAUAGGUUACAGAUGCUGGAAUGCUUUGUAACCCAAAGUUCCGACGCCUUAGGAUGGAUCUGCGGCCGAUUAGGUUGUUGUCGGGGUAACGGCCCAACAAGCCAGUAAUCGGUACGGGUUGUGGGAGCAAGAGCCCGGAGUUGGAUUCUGAGACACGAAUCCAGGCCCUACGGGGCGCAGCAGGCGCGAAAACUUUACAAUGCGGGCAACCGUGAUAAGGGAACCUCGAGUGCCUGUAUAUGCAGGCUGUCCAGGUGUCUAAAACACACCUGAAGAAAGGGCCGGGCAAGACCGGUGCCAGCCGCCGCGGUAAUACCGGCGGCUCGAGUGGUGGCCACUUUUAUUGGGCUUAAAGCGUUCGUAGCUGGGUUGUUAAGUCUCUUGGGAAAUCUGACGGCUUAACCGUCAGGCGUCUAAGAGAUACUGGCAAUCUUGGAUCCGGGAGAGGUGAGGGGUACUUCGGGGGUAGGAGUGAAAUCCUGUAAUCCUCGAGGGACCACCUGUGGCGAAGGCGCCUCACCAGAACGGCUUCGACAGUGAGGGACGAAAGCUGGGGGAGCAAACCGGAUUAGAUACCCGGGUAGUCCCAGCCGUAAACGAUGUGCGUUAGGUGUAUCGGUGACCACGAGUCACCGAGGUGCCGAAGGGAAACCGUGAAACGUUCCGCCUGGGAAGUACGGUCGCAAGGCUGAAACUUAAAGGAAUUGGCGGGGGAGCA